UACGUAGGGCGCAAGCGUGGUCCGGAAUUAUUGGGCGUAAAGAGCUCGUAGGCGGCUUGUCACGUCGGGUGUGAAAGCCCGGGGCUUAACCCCGGGUCUGCAUUCGAUACGGGCUAGCUAGAGUGUGGUAGGGGAGAUCGGAAUUCCUGGUGUAGCGGUGAAAUGCGCAGAUAUCAGGAGGAACACCGGUGGCGAAGGCGGAUCUCUGGGCCAUUACUGACGCUGAGGAGCGAAAGCGUGGGGAGCGAACAGG
RNAcentral lists this ribosomal RNA (253 nucleotides) under uncultured bacterium. RNAcentral describes it as "partial 16S ribosomal RNA". It matches the Rfam family "Bacterial small subunit ribosomal RNA", at positions 524 to 776 of the family's 1533-position model. The record is from RNAcentral.